GCUCUGAACCUCUACUACUGCUGCUUGC
This 28-nucleotide small RNA is filed under the name Bombyx mori (domestic silkworm). RNAcentral describes it as "ovarian small RNA-17107". The record is from RNAcentral. Lineage: Eukaryota; Metazoa; Arthropoda; Insecta; Lepidoptera; Bombycidae.